This is a non-coding RNA of Equus caballus (horse), 7223 nucleotides long. Lineage: Eukaryota; Metazoa; Chordata; Mammalia; Perissodactyla; Equidae. The record is from RefSeq and is a predicted model, not a curated record.
AGAGAUAAGGAGGCGGGCUCUGGUCACGUGACAGGAGCGUGGGCGUUGCGUGUCCCGUCACGUGGCGUCGGAACGCGUCCCUCCCCUUCCGAGGGCUCCUCUGGAUCAUGUGAUGGUGGCGGAUUCUGAGUCCGCCUUGGGCACGUGACCAGGUCCUUGGCGCCUUCCCUUUGCCGUAUUGGGAGGCCUGCAUCACGUGACCACGCCGCCGCUCUUUUUUUCAAUGGCGGUUUCGGAGCGGCCGUGACCACGUGACUCCGGGCGAGGGGCGGAGCCUCCGUGCGGCUGCGACGGUGUGCGCCUGCGUGGGCGCCAUCUUACCCCCGUCGCCAUGAGGACGUUGGCGGAAACGGUUCUGACAGGCGGGCGCGUGAGCGGCUUCCGAGCGGCCGGAUCUCGGUCUCGGAAGUUCGGCCUCUGUCGGAGGCCGCCCCGCGGGGCUUUCUCCCUCCUGCCCGCAUCUCCCGCGAGAAGCCGAGGGGACCCGAGAGGCGCGUGCGAGGAGCGGCCGGGCCGGGCUCCCCGCUGCCGCCCGGGGCCGGCGCCGGAGCCUCGGAAUGGCAGAGCCGGGCUGCUCGGGAUCCUCCGGCCCCCUUCACCCACAUGGAGAAACUGAGGCCCAGGCAACACAAAGACCUGCGUCGAGGGCUCACGGCCCGGGCCCGGCGCCUGUCGGAUGCCCGGCGUGCGGUCUCCCUCCCCCCGGGGUCGGGGUCGGGCCGCUCGGCAGGCGGUGCGCGGGGGCGAGGCUGCAGGUGGGAGCAAGGGGCUGUCCCGCCUCCCGAGGGGUGGGAAGGCCUGGAGACUCACGGCUCUUCCUGUCGCGGAGCUUCCCCGCCUGGCGCGGGGGCGGUGCGCUCGCGUGUGAAGGAUGCAGGAUGCUGAGCCCUGUUUCCGUGUCUGCAAAACGGUGAUGAGCUUUUUAAAGGAGCGCUCGGCACGACUCUUUGGGCGGAAGAAAUGCCCCCAAAUGAUAGCUAUUAUCCGGGAGGUAAGAGGUGAAAAUGUGGUUCCAGGAAUGAGUGCAUGCCGUGCGUCCCGAUUUUCUUUUUCAUUUACGCUUUACUUAGGAUUUUGAGCCGAUCAGGUAUUGCCAUGAUGUAAAUGUCAGAUGUGCAAAAGGAUGUGAAAGGACAAAGUCAGUCUCCCUCCUUGUCUACGUGUCUACGCUCCUCCUUGGCAGCCAGCGUCAAGGUUUUUGUGUCUCGCUGCAGAGAUGUUUUACGCCUAAAGAUGCUAAAUUGUGUUUUUAUGGCCUUUUUUCACGUAAAUAAGACAUUCUGCAUCUUACUGUUUUUUCCCUUACUUGCAGAUCUGUCUUAAACGAGUAGAGGUUGAGAUUGAAGAAGGGUUUGGUAAAAGUAAGGGGGCGUGUGUUUAGACGAGAUUGGCUAAAGUAAGUUUCGGUGGUUCAAGGUCACCGUGACUGUGAGAAUGAUAACUGGCUUUGACAUUUAAGUUAGAGCCCAGCGGUGUCUGUUUGACACACGAGGGCCGGACUCAGAGGCCGGGCAGCUUGUCUAAGCCCACAGCGCUGCCAAGUGGCAGAACAGGGACAGUCCCUCGUUUCUGACUCCAGGUCCACAGGCCGUCCCUGGGAGGGGCCCUUGCGUGCAUUCCUGAAGAACCUGGUUUUGAGGCUCUCGCUCCUCUGAGGCAGCGCUUGUCACAUCCGUUUCGCAGGCACAGAUAGGAUGGUAAUGACAGGCAUGAGACUUCAGAUCAAACCACGACCUCCUUGGAGGAGCCCAGGACGGACUUGGACAGUUUUUCAACCUCAAACGGUUGCCGGUGUGGCGGGCGUGUUGCGAGGGCUGGAGCAGCGGCUGUGGACAUGCGUGUUGCUUGUUGGCCUCGUGCCCGUCCAGCCUGGCUUAGAGUGAGACAUCCGUGGGGCUGCAGUGGAAAUGUCAGGAAACCAGAACUCCCUUAGAGGUGCCCUCUGUGUGCACCCACCCCUUCCCCACCCCCCGGGAGCUGCUGGAGGAGACGUUUCCAGCUGCAAGCUUCUGCCUUCCUUGUCCAUGCUCUCUCUCGGGGCGCCAUCCAAGAUGGAAGACCCCACAUGCCAUCUGCUUUCUCCCUGCGUCUCCGCUCUGGCCCAGCCUCCCACCUUUCCUCUCCACUGCUCCCUGGUUAACAGCUCCGUGUGUGCACAACCGCACUCGCACCUCCUUGCCUGACUUGACACCCCGCAUCGUCUGGCUGUACCCCUCUUCUCCUCAUUCCACAGUCCCCCUCACUGGGUGAAGACUGAGGUCUGUCCUCGCCUCUUGCAGUCCCUCUGUCCAAACAGGUUCCGCCAUGCUCUGGGAUGUCAGUGUCCGCAGGGACUUGCUCUGCCCUCGCCUUCCUCAUCUGCAGAGACUUCUCCCCCUAGAGCACCCCUCCCCAGACGCCCCUGAUCACAUCCAAGAACUCCUCCCCUUGAAAGCUUUCUGACUGUGUCUGCUGUCUCCCCCUCAGUGGAGUGGCAUUUGGUUGACCACAGUGCUUUGGGGGACCACCCAUCUCCCUUGCUUCUCUGUAGUUGAGUUGGCAGGUUCCCACUGCCUGAUGCCAACACUAGUCACCAAAAUCAAGCAGUCGGAGCAAGUGAGCAUCAGGCCUGGGCCUUUGGGGCAAGAGAUGCCCUCAUGUCUCUGAUCGUCAAGGCAGGUGUGGUCGGAAGACAGGGUGUACCCUGAUGAAAAAACGUCAUAGAGAAUGAAGCAGUCUGGAAGAAACCUGAGCCAAAAGAUGGAGUGAGAACAGUGUCGUGGUUCUUUGAAAGACUAGGCAGAGAAUUACCAUAUGACCCAGCAAUUCUGCUUCUGGGUGUGUGCCCAAAAAGAAAUGAAAGCAGGAACUUGAGACACUGGUAUCUCCAUAUUCAUAGCAGCAUUACCCACAAUGGCCAAAAGGUGGAAGCAGCCCAGUGUCCACUGAUGGAUGAACGGGUACACGAAAUGUGCUGUAUAUGUACAGUGGAAUAGUAUUCAGCCUUAAAAAAGGAAGGGAAUUCUGCCAAAUGCUAUGAUGUGGAUGACCCUUGAAGACUGUGCUCAGUGAAAUAAGCCAGUCACAAAAGGACAAAUAAUAUAUGAUUCCACUCACAGGAGGUCCCUAGUGGAGUCACAUUCACAGAGACAAAGUGGAAUCAUGGGGGUCAGGGGCUGGGGGAGGGGUCUUUAAUGGGGACAGAGCUUCAGUUUGGGAAGAUGAGAAGCUUCUGGAGACGGAUGGUGGGGAUGGCUGCACAGCAGUGUGAAUGUGCUAAAUGCCACUGGACUGUAUACUUAGAAAUAGUUAAAAUGAUAAAUUUUGUGUAUUUUUUGACACUUUUUAAAACUAAAAUAAAAAGAUGGAGCAAAAGUGAAACCAAGGCACAGCCACAUCAUUUGAGCCCCAGGAUGUUGCGACUUGUGGGGGAAACAUGCACAUAGCCACAAACAUUGAGGCUGUCGUUCGGGCCAUGCGUAGGACCCCAGGCCCCUUGAGUCGGUCAUCUCUGCCUGCCGGGACCCUUGUGCCACCCUCACAUCCCUGCUGCUCUUGCUCUUCCCAUGGAGCAGUGUCUGCAGCUUUUGCCUGUUGGGCCUCCACUCCCUCUUUGUUCUGAGGACCAAGACUUGCUUUUGGGGAGCCGCCUCUCCCCCGCUUUAUUCCUGCCUCCCAGCGUCUGCCCUGGGCCUCACCCAUCAGAACCCCACUUCUCCCUCGGCCCAGUGACUGGUUCAGCGAUGGCGUUUCACAAAACGGGCCCAAGGAGAGGCAGCUCUGGGACUGCUUGUGAUCGUCUGAGAAAGAGCUGGGUCUUUCUGCUGGGGCCGCUGGGCUGGGAGGAUGUAAGCCCAGGGUAUACAGCUCGAUGUGUCCUUUCACGUUACUCCACUCAUUCAUUCAAGCGCCCUCACCUCAGGGCCUUUGUGCUGGCUGUUCCCUCUGCCUGAAACGCCCUUCCCUCAGUCUUCACAGCUCCCUCCCUACCUCUCUCAGCUCUCUGCCCUGUGUCACCUCCUCAGAGAGACCCACCUGCCCUAACCACCAUGUUCUAUUUCUUCCAAGUGUUUAUCACUACCUACUCUAUAUUUAGUUAUUUGUUAUGUCUCCCUUACUCCCUUGGUGAAGUCUGAGAUGGGGAAACACAGUUCUUGUUCACUCCCGUAUAUCUAGCCACGAAGUGCCUGGCUUAGAGGCCUGGGAAAAUCAAGAGUGAAUGAGUGAGUGGACGUGUCAGCCACCACACCUGCCCCCCACUGUACCCAAGGCAGUCCGGCCUCAUGGAUAGGUGAGCCACAAGGGAGCUCCCCCCAUUCCCCUUAAUCCACUUUGAGGUCUAGCAUCCGCAGUCCUAAGUGCAUAGCUUGGUAAAUGCUUACAGAGUCUACAUCUGUGCAAGCACCACCCCAGUCAAGGUAAGGAACAUUGUCACCACCCCAGAACGUUCCCUCUGCUCUCUGUAGCCAAUUCCCGGCCCUCUUGUUACAUCACCAGGAUUCACUUUACCUAUUCUAGAAUGUUCCAGAAUUGGAAGCAUCCAGCAUGAACUUCUUUGUGUCUGUUAGUUGCCUGGGCCACUGAGCUUUCUGGCGGCCUGUACCUGGCCAGCACGCCUGUGCCUGCACCCCUCGUUUCUAAAAGGGCAGCGGGGCCCCUCCUGGCCUGGCUUCCCUCCACAUUCUCUGGAUCUGUAGCUCUCAGAGUAGCAGACCACGAAUAUGGACGCUGGCCAACGCAAGCAGAAAAGAAUUUGAGGACAGCCUGCUGCUAACAGACCUCCAGGAGGGCCGGGAGGAGCUGGCCUUGAAGGCUGGGCAGCCCGAAGCAGCUGCCGGGGACACAGCGACACCACCAUGCCCUGGCCCUGCCCUGGGGAGGCGGACAAGAAUCAAGCAGAGUGUGUGCUGUGUCCCAUGGUGGCGAGUGUGGUGGACGAAAAGAAAACCAGGGCUGCCGAGCUGGGGCAGGCGAUUUUAAGCCAGGCGGCGCCCGGGAAAGUCACGGGGAGCUGAGGGACUGAGGCCAAGCCGACUGCUGGGAGAAGAGCCUUCCAGGCAGAGGAAACAGCCGGUGCAAAGUCCCACAGCUUCCACCCUCUCUGCAUGCUCCGCUCUGAGCUGCUGGCCGCCUGAUUUCACAAGGAGAUAGUCACUCCCAGCCGUGUCCUCCCGCCACCACCACCGCAGCCACCAGCACCUGUGGCGCCUUCCACAUAGCUCCAGGCACCCCCUGUGGCUCUCUCCUCCCCAGGCCUCACCUCGCCUCUCUCGACACUCACCCACAGGCGACCCCAGCCAGUCCCUCGACUUAAGGCCGUCAGAGCACUGAGCCCUUCCGUUGCCUGCCUCCCGCCUGGCUUUCCCCCCUGAGGUCCAGACGCACGUAUCUGACCAUCUAUGUCACAGCUUCCUUUGGAGAUUUUGUAUAAAGUGGGUGCAAAAUAAACCCACCUGCCUGGAUCCCUUCCAUCCACAUUAUUGUUUCUUUGCAUCUCUACAAGCAUUUUGUCUGCUUUUGCACAAGCGCCGGCACCUGCAGCUCUUUUCAGAGAACCUCCCCUGGGCUCUGGACCACGUGCCAGCAUCCCUUUGCCUGCCCACUCAGAGCAUCAGAAGGGCCUUGGAGCUUACGUUCCCCCAGGGCAGCCUUUAGGCAACGACUGACGGGUGCGGACAACUCGGAGAUGGAACAGCCUCCAGAGCUCCCUGCGGGAUGGACUAUGGGCCCUGGCAGGACUCCGCCUGAGCUUGCUCCCUCGCAGCCCUGCUUCCCCAGCGCCUCUUUCUUUCACUUCACACAUGCAAUCCAUCAGGUCAGCUCCAUCUUCAAAUUAUAUCGAGAAUCUGCAUGCUUUCGUCACCUUCACCAAGACCACCUGAGUCCAGCCCACCAUCAGCACGGACCCGGACCAGUGCGGUAGCCUCCUCAUUGGUCUCUGCUUCUGCUUUUGUGUCGUACAGUUUCUUUGUGCACAGCAACCAGAGGGCUCUGAGCAUGCAUAAAAGAUUGGAAACCUAAAUGCUGGUGAAUACUACUUUUUUUUUUUUUUUGGCUGAGGAAGAUUCACCCUGAGCUAACAUCUGUUGCCGGUCUCCCUCUGUUUUGUAUGUGGGUCACUGCCACAGCAUGGAUGCCCACCAGUGGUGUAGGUCCACGCCCAGGAACCAAGCCCGGGCCGCCCAGCAGAGUGCACUAAACUUGAAACCACUAGACCACAGGGCUGGCCCCCCUGAUAAUAGUCACUAAUACUGUGCACGUUGCCAGGGCCAGGCACCAUGCCAAGCUCUUUAUAUUCAUUUGGCUGUGCUGGGCUGUAUCCUGGGUGCCUGCUGUGCACCAGGCACUCUGCCCUGCCUGGGGUAACGGGGUAAAGAAGAGGAAGAUCUUCCUCUGUGAGCUGACACACUGGUGAGGAGGCUGACAGUGAGCAAGUGAAAUACAAAUAAAUAAUGACAGGUUUGACAAGUGCUAUGAAGAAAAUCAACAGGGUGAUGCGGUCAUCAACAAGAGAGGCCAACUUUAGAUGAGCAGGGAAGGCUUCCUGGAGGAGACCCCUGAGUGGAAAGCAGAGGAUGAUGAGGAGCUAGCCACGCAAAGAGCCAGGUGGAGUGCAUUUCAGGCAUAAGCGCUGGGGCCGGCGUGGUGGGUGAGUCAGCGAGAGGCGGGUGGCAGGGCGGAUAGGCCAGGGCCUGUGGGCUGCAGUGAGGACUUUGGCUUUUACUGAGUAAAGUGGGAGCCAUGGAGGGUUCUUGAGCAGAGAAGGAGUGUGAACACACUCAGCUGUUCACAGGCGUCCAUCUGUGCCUUUGGGGUAUGACCGAGGGCCUUCCUGGGCCCGUUCAGCUGACCCCAUCUUAUCAACAGUGUAAUUAAGAGUGGUUUUUCAGGAACUGAGAAACGACCUCUCAUCCAGUUCAGGCCAGUCGAGGCCACCAACCCAUCAACUGGGCCUGCACAAAUGCCGGAGAAGUGACCCUUUUGACAUCAAGGGGCUGGAAACUCCCCCCUCAGAGCAUACUAAUGUACCUAUAUUGUGAACAUGCGUCCUGCGAAGAGCCACGGAGCUCGACCACGCUUGCGCAGACCCUCAGUCACCUCACCUCUCUCACCUCCAAUCAUCUGUCUCCACGCUUCAGACCGCCCUGCCCUUCCUCCCACAAAUUCGGAUCGGGGAGACAGACCGGACAGCACGUGCCCCCGGCUCCUUACCGAUCCAUAUAGCAAUAAAGCUGAUGCUGUAA